This 474-nucleotide ribosomal RNA is filed under the name uncultured bacterium. RNAcentral's name for it is "bacterial SSU rRNA". It matches the Rfam family "Bacterial small subunit ribosomal RNA", at positions 335 to 800 of the family's 1533-position model. The record is from RNAcentral.
ACUCCUACGGGAGGCAGCAGUGGGGAAUAUUGGACAAUGGGGAACCGUGCAUCCAGCCAUGCCGCGUGUGUGAAGAAGGCCUUUUGGUUGUAAAGCACUUUAAGCGAGGAGGAGGCUUACCUGGUUAAUACCUGGGAUAAGUGGACGUUACUCGCAGAAUAAGCACCGGCUAACUCUGUGCCAGCAGCCGCGGUAAUACAGAGGGUGCAAGCGUUAAUCGGAUUUACUGGGCGUAAAGCGCGCGUAGGUGGCUAAUUAAGUCAAAUGUGAAAUCCCCGAGCUUAACUUGGAAUUGCAUUCGAUACUGGUUAGCUAGAGUAUGGGAGAGGGAUGGUAGAAUUCCAGGUGUAGCGGUGAAAUGCGUAGAGAUCUGGAGGAAUACCGAUGGCGAAGGCAGCCAUCUGGCCUAAUACUGACACUGAGGUGCGAAAGCAUGGGGAGCAAACAGGAUUAGAUACCCUGGUAGCUACGAGU